RNAcentral lists this ribosomal RNA (424 nucleotides) under uncultured bacterium. RNAcentral's name for it is "bacterial SSU rRNA". It matches the Rfam family "Bacterial small subunit ribosomal RNA", at positions 361 to 776 of the family's 1533-position model. The record is from RNAcentral.
AUUUUGCGCAAUGGGGGAAACCCUGACGCAGCAACGCCGCGUGGGUGAUGAAGGCCUUCGGGUCGUAAAGCCCUGUCAGGUGGGAAGAAUGGCUUGAGGUCUAACAGGCUUCGGGUAUGACGGUACCACCAGAGGAAGCACCGGCUAACUCCGUGCCAGCAGCCGCGGUAAUACGGAGGGUGCGAGCGUUAUUCGGAAUUACUGGGCGUAAAGCGCGUGUAGGCGGGAGUGCAAGUCUGAUGUGAAAGCCCCGGGCUCAACCCGGGAAGUGCAUUGGAAACUGCAUUUCUUGAGUAUCGGAGAGGAUGGGGGAAUUCCCGGUGUAGAGGUGAAAUUCGUAGAGAUCGGGAGGAAUACCAGUGGCGAAGGCGCCCAUCUGGACGGUAACUGACGCUGAGACGCGAAAGCGUGGGGAGCAAACAGG